Molecule: long non-coding RNA, 2109 nt
Organism: Chrysolophus pictus (golden pheasant)
Lineage: Eukaryota; Metazoa; Chordata; Aves; Galliformes; Phasianidae
Source: Ensembl
CCUGUUUUCAACUUGCUUUUCUGAAGCCAUUCCAACAUUGAGAACACAGAGAAGAUGGAUCCAGGGAGCAUGUUAGUCCCUCUGGAGGUUGUGGUACUUCAGCUAAUCAAUGAUUAGCUUGGAUGCUGCAGGAGGGAUUUUCAAAAGUGUCUUUAACAAAAAAAAGAGGAAGGGAAGAUGGUGCAGUGAAACACUAGCAGUAGUAUAUCAAGUAUGUUUGUUGCAGUAUUUUGUUGCAGAAAUAUUUCAUCAUUUAGAGAGAGGAGUGCCUUGUAUCUGAGUCAUAGCUGUCGAGAAGAAGGUUAUUGCUGAAGGUGAAGAAGUGGUUGGAGCAGGAGAAUUGCUGAUGAGGAGGGAAGCUUUGUCCUGAAGGGCACGGUGCCUCUGUGCCAUUGUGUUCCCAGGUUCCACGAGGCAAGUGACUUAAACUAGACUUUACAUAGCAGGUGGCUGAUGAGCCAUCUCCCGUGGUUUGUGUGCCCAAUUGGAUGCUCAAGGUAUGAGUUACGGAAAUGUUGAGAUGCUGCUCUGAACUUAGUAGGCCUUUGCUGUAGAGCCCAUCAGGAGUUUUGACACUGCUGGCAGAGAUGUCAGGCUUAACCCAGGUGGUGUAAUGGCUCCUGGCAGCACACUGCUGUGUUAGAGUGGUUCCUUGGGUCAGCUGAACGGUGUUAGUGCAGUGUGAGGCCACUGCCUCCUUCUCUUGCUGAAGUUCAUCAGCUGUGGCCCUGUACUCUGGUUAUGGCGCAGGAGCUAACUCAAUCAAACUUCCUGCAGUGCCUCUGCAAGUUCUGGAGGUGCGCUGGGGAGAGGUAGCCUUGAAGUGCUUGUAAUAACUUCUGAAUUCUCUGGAAAUUGAGUCUCACAAGUCUCAGUCAAGCUGUUACAGCAUCUGGAGUUGGAAACCAUGCAACUAGAAGCCUUUCUGGAGUGGAAGCAACUGGAAACAGUUUACUGGCAGUGGAUGGAAACCGUGUUAGAUAACAUGGCUGAAGAGGGAAGCUUGCGCUCGGUGCAGGACACUCCUGUGGAGAACAGCAGGCUGCAGGGGGGGGCCACGUGCUGCCCCUGGGCUGAAAGUAUGACUGCGCAAAUCAAUAGGUUGUCUGGGGAGAUGACAGCUCUCCACAGCCAGCUGAACAAGCUGGUAGCACGCCGAAGGUCUGCUUGGUGGCAGAAGGUGAAAACAAGAGAGGAAGAACUGCAGAAAGAGGACUUCUCUGCCAAACUAGGAAAGAUAGAGGAAUCAGUGGAGCUGAAACUACUAGAUCUUAUGAACCACGGUACUCCAAACAGAAAUAAAAUGCAUGGGUCAUGCAGGCUGGUGUUUAGAAGCAAACAUUCUGCCAGCAAAACAGGCUUUGGUAGAUCUGUAUCCAAGGAACCUGUUCCAGCUGUCAGUGCUACAGAGGUGAUUAGAGAACUGCGGAUGAGAGAGGCCAGCCUACAGAGAGAGCUGAAGCAGCUGCAGGAUGAGUGCAAGCAGAGGUUGGAUGGAAUUGCAGAGAGGUUGGAUGGAGUGAUUUGUAUCUCUCCUUGAAGAGAGAAAGCUGGACUCAGAAGAACAAAGGAGAGGGCUUAUUUGAUCAGAACACACUUGUGCAGUUUGGCAUGGGGGAGUGCAAGAUGAGGAACCAAAUGUGAGCUUUGAUAUUUAAGCCUGGGAACAGUAACUUGUUUCUGCUUUGUGACUUGCACUGGGGCCAUAACCUUUGUGGUUCUGCCUGCAGCCUCUUUAUUGCUAACCUUGCCAAUUAAAUUCUGCAGCAGGCCUUAGUGGGAGUGUGCUUACAUCUCCCUUUUAUCUUUUAGAUGUUUAGUUCUUCUGCCAAGCACUGGCUCUUCCAGAAUGCUCAGCUGCUAGACACAGCUUUCUUUGAGGCUGCAGAUUGGAGUACUAAUUGCAUACAACAUUUUCCAGCAAGUGGAAGCAUUCAUUAGUCAGAAAAAUCCAGGUACUGGAGAACAUACAAAGCACCAAGGCUCAGAGAGAUUGGGAAAGCAUGCUAUUUUUAAUUCAGCUGGUUUGCAUAUUUGUGGCAGCUAUAAGGCAGCCACUGUAAAGAAAAACAAAUGCCUAAUAAUAAAUAAAGCUGCACGCUGACUUCA